UACGUAGGGUGCAAGCGUUAAUCGGAAUUACUGGGCGUAAAGCGUGCGCAGGCGGUUGUGCAAGACCGAUGUGAAAUCCCCGGGCCUUAACCUGGGAAUGGCAUUGGUGACUGCACGGCUAGAGUGUGUCAGAGGGGGGUAGAAUUCCACGUGUAGCAGUGAAAUGCGUAGAGAUGUGGAGGAAUACCGAUGGCGAAGGCAGCCCCCUGGGAUAACACUGACGCUCAUGCACGAAAGCGUGGGGAGCAAACAGG
Molecule: ribosomal RNA, 254 nt
Filed under: uncultured bacterium
Lineage: Bacteria
Description: partial 16S ribosomal RNA
Rfam family: Bacterial small subunit ribosomal RNA
Source: RNAcentral